Pseudophryne corroboree (corroboree frog) is the source of this 2353-nucleotide long non-coding RNA. RefSeq lists it as uncharacterized. The record is from RefSeq and is a predicted model, not a curated record. The transcript is spliced from 3 exons. NCBI's taxonomy places the organism in Eukaryota, Metazoa, Chordata, Amphibia, Anura, Myobatrachidae.
CUCCAGGCUGGAACGAGGAGCUGCUCUGCUGCUGUCCUCUUGGUGACUUUCACAUCAAAAAUAUUUGGAUAGCUGCUUCAUUCAGAUUUCUGCAGAUCGCUUUGAUUUUUUGACAACACGAAUGUUGCAUAAUGCAUGAAAAGGCUGCUGCACAGACAAGACUCGGUUGGUGUACGCUGGGCAGAACUUUGACCCAGGGAGCCUGUUCUGUACUGUUCACUGGAUGGAUUCAGAAGAAAACUUCAGAUUGGUAACAGGGGAUCCCAGAAGACAUGCUAAGGGGUUAGGGUCCCAGUCAGACCUCCCGUUGGUAUACGCUGGGCAGAAGUUUGACCCAGGGAGCCUGUUCUGAGCCUUCCACUGGACUUGGAUGAAAACUUUAAUGAACUGUAAUAACUAACAGAAAUAACCACAAUUCAAUUACCUAAAAUAACUGACUGAAAUAACCCUAAAUAAUAUAUAUAUAUAUAUAUAUAUAUAUAUAUUUAUUUGUGUGUGUGUGUAUAUAUAUAUAUAUAUAUAUAUAUAUAUUUAUUGAUAUUUAUAAAAUGUAUGUUUUAUAAUGACAGAAAUCUCAGUAACAUCAUUAGACCCAUUAGAUCACAUGAACGUGCGUUAUUUCCCAAUGUCAGUACAUCACUGCCUCACUGACAUCAGCAUAUCCCCGCCUCACUGACAGCAGCACAUAUCUGCCUCACUGACAGCAGAACAUCAACAUCUUACUGACAGGAGCACAUCCCUGCCUCACUGACAGCAACACUUCCCAGCCUCACUGACAGCAGCACAUCACUCCCUGCCUCACUGACAGCAGCACAUCACUCCCCGCCUCACUGACGGCAGCACAUCCCCGCCUCGCUGACAGAAGCACAUCCCUGCCUCACUGACAGCAGCGCAUCCCUGCCUCACUGACAGCAGCACAUCCCUGCCUCUCUGACAGCAGCACAUCCCCACCUCACUGACAGCAGCACAUCCUGGCCUCACUGACAGCAGCACAAUCCCUCCUCACUGACAGCAGCCCAUCCCUGCCUCACUGACAGCAGCACAUCCCUGCUUCACUGACAGCAGCGCAUCCCUGUCUCACUGACAGCAGCGCAUCCCUGUCUCACUGACAGCAGCACAUCCCUGCCUCUCUGGCAGCAGCACAUCCCUGCCUCACUGACAGCGGCACAUCCCUGACUCACUGACAGUGGCACAUCCCUUCCUCACUGACAGCAGCACAUCGCUUCCUCACUGACAGCAACCCAUCCCGGCCUCACUGACAGCAGCACAUCCCGGCCUCACUGACAGCAGCACAUCCCCGCCUCACUGACAGCAGCACAUCCCCGACUCACUGACAGCAGCACAUCCCCGACUCACGAACAGCAGCACAUCCCCGCCUCACUGACAGCAGCACAUCCCUUCCUCACUGACAGCAGCAUAUCCCUGACUCACUGACAGCAGCACAUCCCUGACUCACUGACAGCAGCACAUCCCUGCCUCACUGACAGCAGCCCAUCCCUGCCUCACUGACAGCAGCACAUCCCUGCCUCACUGACAGCAGCACAUCCCUGACUCACUGACAGCAGCACAUCCCCGCCUCACUGACAGCAGCACAUCCCUUCCUCACUGACAGCAGCACAUUCCUGCCCCACUGACAACAGCACAUUAUCUCCUCACUGACAGCAGCACAUCCCUUCCUCACUGACAGCAGCACAUCUCUUCCUCACUGACAGCAGCCCAUCCCUGCCUCACUGACAGCAGCACAUCCCCGCCUCACUGACAGCAGCACAUCCCUGCCUCACUUACAGCAAUACAUCCCUGCCUCACUGACAGCAGCACAUCCCCGCCUCACUGACAGCAGCACAUCCCUGCCUCACUGACAGCAGCACAUCCCUGCCUCACUGACAGCAGCACAUCCCUGCCUCACUGACAGCAGCACAUCCCCGCUUCAGUGACAGAGACAUAAUUCAAACAUUUCUUGCACCUGCUUCUAAAUUUUAAAAUGUAAACAAAAUUCUUGGAGAAAAAUAUUACAAUAAGAAGAAAAAAAGUAAAAUUAUGUCAAAGUAUGAAUACACUUGUUAGUGUGUUAUUCCCAUUAUUAUAAACAUUAAAGGUUUUGGAGAUAUGCACACACAUUACCAUAAUCUUAAUAAUAAAUUACAAUAAAAAUUGAACCACAAAGCAUAGUCUCCUUACAUUUGAUUAUGGGUCCACAAUCCCUAUUUCAGCUUUGUGAUGACUAAAUUAGAGUAAAGAGAAAGACAAAUUAAAUUUCUUUUUAAAAGGAAUCUGAAAACAUGUUACAAGUUCCCCUGGGGUCAGCUCACCACACAGCUACUACAGUAAGUGGCCAGGUUAUUCAAAAAUAAAA